UGGUGUGACUGCGUACCUUUUGUAUAAUGGGUCAACGACUUACAUUCAGUAGCGAGCUUAACCGAGUAGGGGAGGCGUAGGGAAACCGAGUCUUAAUAGGGCGACUAGUUGCUGGGUGUAGACCCGAAACCGAGUGAUCUAUCCAUGGCCAGGUUGAAGGUGCCGUAACAGGUACUGGAGGACCGAACCCACGCAUGUUGCAAAAUGCGGGGAUGAGCUGUGGAUAGGGGUGAAAGGCUAAACAAACUCGGAGAUAGCUGGUUCUCCCCGAAAACUAUUUAGGUAGUGCCUCAAGUAUUACCUGCGGGGGUAGAGCACUGUUUAGGCUAGGGGGUCAUGGCGACUUACCAAACCUUAGCAAACUCCGAAUACCGCAGAGUACA
Molecule: ribosomal RNA, 383 nt
Filed under: Prorocentrum minimum
Lineage: Eukaryota; Dinophyceae; Prorocentrales; Prorocentraceae
Description: partial Bacterial large subunit ribosomal RNA
Rfam family: Bacterial large subunit ribosomal RNA
Source: RNAcentral